Molecule: transfer RNA, 69 nt
Filed under: Ictidomys tridecemlineatus (thirteen-lined ground squirrel)
Lineage: Eukaryota; Metazoa; Chordata; Mammalia; Rodentia; Sciuridae
Description: Spermophilus tridecemlineatus (thirteen-lined ground squirrel) tRNA
Rfam family: tRNA
About the family: Transfer RNA (tRNA) molecules are approximately 80 nucleotides in length. Their secondary structure includes four short double-helical elements and three loops (D, anti-codon, and T loops).
Source: Rfam by way of RNAcentral
GGGGUUGUGGCUCAGCGGUAGAGCGCCCGUCUAGCACGUGCAAGUCCCUGAGUUCGAUCCUCAGCUCCA